CCUACGGGAGGCAGCAGUGAGGAAUAUUGGUCAAUGGUCGGGAGACUGAACCAGCCAAGCCGCGUGAGGGAUGAAGGUACAGAGUAUCGUAAACCUCUUUUGUCAGGGAACAAAGGCGGGGACGUGUCCCCGGAUGAGUGUACCUGAAGAAAAAGCAUCGGCUAACUCCGUGCCAGCAGCCGCGGUAAUACGGAGGAUGCGAGCGUUAUCCGGUUUUAUUGGGUUUAAAGGGUGCGCAGGCGGUCUGUUAAGUCAGCGGUCAAAGCCCGCGGCUCAACCCCGGCCCGCCGUUGAAACUGGCAGUCGCGAGUUGGAGAGAAGUAUGCGGAAUGCGCGGUGUAGCGGUGAAAUACAUAGAUAUCGCGCAGAACUCCGAUUGCGAAGGCAGCAUGCCGGCUCCACACUGACGCUGAGGCACGAAAGCGUGGGUAUCGAACAGGAUUAGAUACCCCAGUAGUC
RNAcentral lists this ribosomal RNA (459 nucleotides) under uncultured bacterium. RNAcentral describes it as "partial 16S ribosomal RNA". It matches the Rfam family "Bacterial small subunit ribosomal RNA", at positions 338 to 795 of the family's 1533-position model. The record is from RNAcentral.